UACGAAGGGGGCUAGCGUUAUUCGGAAUGAUUGGGCGUAAAGGACGCGUAGGCGGUUUUGUAAGUCUUUAGUGAAAUCCCCGAGCUUAACUUGGGAAUUGCUUGAGAUACUGCAUAACUAGAGUAUGGGAGAGGCAAGUGGAAUCUUUGGUGUAGAGGUGAAAUUCUUAGAUAUCAGAGAGAACGUCAGUGGCGAAAGCGACUUGCUAGAACAUUACUGACGCUGAGGCGUGAAAGCGUGGGGAGCAAAAGGG
Molecule: ribosomal RNA, 253 nt
Filed under: uncultured bacterium
Lineage: Bacteria
Description: partial 16S ribosomal RNA
Rfam family: Bacterial small subunit ribosomal RNA
Source: RNAcentral